Molecule: ribosomal RNA, 345 nt
Filed under: Triticum aestivum (bread wheat)
Lineage: Eukaryota; Viridiplantae; Streptophyta; Magnoliopsida; Poales; Poaceae
Description: partial small subunit ribosomal RNA
Source: RNAcentral
AUGGCCUGGCAGCAGGGUCGCCUGGGAAGGCUUCACCGACGCUCCAACGCGGACCUCGUCGCCGAGCAUGAGAUUUGGGCUGCCGUUGAUCCGUUCACAAAGAACGAGCCUUUCAAUUGCAGCAAUGGGGAUGUAUUCAAGUGGAAGCAGCUCUGGCCGAUGCUGGCUGAUCAUUUCGGGUUGGAAUGGGCAAGGUACGAGGGAGAGGACGGCCGGUUCAUCAUUGCCGACGCCAUGGCCCGGAAGGAGGCGGUGUGGGCGGAGAUCGUACAGGAGAAUGAGCUUGUCACUACUGCUCAAGGAGAUCACCAACUGGUGGUUUGUCGACGCCGUGUUAAAUUUUGA